RNAcentral lists this ribosomal RNA (253 nucleotides) under uncultured prokaryote. RNAcentral describes it as "partial 16S ribosomal RNA". It matches the Rfam family "Bacterial small subunit ribosomal RNA", at positions 525 to 777 of the family's 1533-position model. The record is from RNAcentral.
ACGUAGGGUGCGAGCGUUAAUCGGAAUUACUGGGCGUAAAGCGUGCGCAGGCGGUUUUGUAAGCCAGAUGUGAAAUCCCCGGGCUUAACCUGGGAAUGGCAUUUGGGACUGCAAGGCUUGAGUGCGGCAGAGGAGACUGGAAUUCCUGGUGUAGCAGUGAAAUGCGUAGAUAUCUGGAGGAACACCGGUGGCGAAGGCGGCAUCCUGGACCAAUUCUGACGCUGAGGAGCGAAAGCCAGGGGAGCAAACGGGA